AGAGUUUGAUCCUGGCUCAGGAUGAACGCUGGCGGCAGGCUUAACACAUGCAAGUCGAACGCACCGCAAGGUGAGUGGCAGACGGGUGAGUAACGCGUGGGAACCUUCCCUGUGGUACGGAAUAACUUCGGUAAACCGAAGCUAAUACCGUAUAUCUCCUCCGGGAGAAAGAUUUAUCGGACUGAGAGGGUCUCGCGGCCUAUCAGCUAGUUGGAGAGGUAACGGCUCACCAAGGCAUCGACGGGUAGCUGGUCUGAGAGGAUGAUCAGCCACACUGGGACUGAGACACGGCCCAGACUCCUACGGGAGGCAGCAGUGGGGAAUCUUGCACAAUGGGCGAAAGCCUGAUGCAGCAACGCCGCGUGCGGGAAGAAGGCCCUAGGGUUGUAAACCGCUUUCAGUAGGGAAGAAAAUGACGGUACCUACAGAAGAAGGUGCGGCCAACUACGUGCCAGCCGCCGCGGUAAUUC
RNAcentral lists this ribosomal RNA (470 nucleotides) under uncultured bacterium. RNAcentral's name for it is "bacterial SSU rRNA". It matches the Rfam family "Bacterial small subunit ribosomal RNA", at positions 8 to 526 of the family's 1533-position model. The record is from RNAcentral.